Molecule: non-coding RNA, 222 nt
Organism: Vicia faba (fava bean)
Lineage: Eukaryota; Viridiplantae; Streptophyta; Magnoliopsida; Fabales; Fabaceae
Source: the annotation of a GenBank genome assembly
AUGGUGGUAGUGUACCCAGCUGUAGGUUAUUCAAAGUUUAUUGGUGAUACAGAAAAGAUUUUAAGGUUUAAGGAAGGGGUCAGGACAAGAAGGGACUUGAUUAGAAAAAUGGAGGGAGGGAUGGAAUUGGAACCUCCUGAAGGUGAAAAUCAGAAAAGAAAGAGGAAGAAGAAUUUCUGUUUAGAUUGUGAUAGAAUUAUAGAAGAGAAAGGUCAGAGCUGA